Molecule: long non-coding RNA, 365 nt
Organism: Chelonia mydas (Green sea turtle)
Lineage: Eukaryota; Metazoa; Chordata; Testudines; Cheloniidae
Exons: 3
Source: RefSeq, a predicted model, not a curated record
GGGAGUUUUUAAAGUCUAUUUAAGCCUGUGGGAGACCCCUCCAUUUUGUCUUCAGCUGGAUAAAGAGAGAGCCUCUCCACCCCCAAGGAUACCUGAAAAAAACUGGAAUAAAAGAGAGUAACUACAGGGGCUGUGAGUGAUUGCUGGACCCAGACUAGAAGGAGACUAGUCUGUAAAAGGAAGCUGACUGGACUUGUGCGGAAUGAAUUUUGUUAUGUGCACUGUAUUGAGGUAAUGCGCAGAAAACUCACGUGAUUAACUCAAAAAAAAAAAAGCAAUGAAAAAAAUUAAUCGUGAAUAAACUUGCUACUAAACAAUAGAAUACCAAUUCAAAUUUAUUAAAUAUUUUUGGAUGUUUUUCUAUA